RNAcentral lists this transfer RNA (61 nucleotides) under Paranemertes cf. peregrina SCS-2010. Its description in RNAcentral is "tRNA-Thr". The record is from RNAcentral. Lineage: Eukaryota; Metazoa; Nemertea; Enopla; Monostilifera; Emplectonematidae.
GAAUUUAAAGCUAAAAAGAAGCAACGGUUUUGUAAACCGAAGAAUGGAUUAUCCUAAAUUC